GUCUAUGGCCUUGCUACCCAGAACAAGACUGAUCCCAUCUGAUCUCAGAAGUUAAGCGGGGUUGGUUCUAGUUAGUACUUGGAUGGGAGAUCAUCUAGAAAGACCAGGUACUGUAGGUG
This 119-nucleotide ribosomal RNA is filed under the name Pteropus alecto (black flying fox). Lineage: Eukaryota; Metazoa; Chordata; Mammalia; Chiroptera; Pteropodidae. The record is from RNAcentral.